UCAAGCUACAAAGGGCGCAUGGUGAAUGCCUUGGCAUCAGGAGCCGAUGAAGGACGUGAUAAGCUGCGAUAAGCUUCGGGUAGGCGCACAUAGCCAGUGAUCCGGAGAUUUCCGAAUGUGGGAACACACAUGGGAAACCCCAUGUAUCGUAUAGUGAAUACAUAGCUAUACGAGGGUAAACCUAGGGAACUGAAACAUCUAAGUACCUAGAGGAAGAGAAAGAAAAAUCGAUUUCCUUAGUAGCGGCGAGCGAAAGGGAAAGAGCCCAAACCAAAGAUUUAUCUUUGGGGUUGCGGACAGAGCAUUAACGAGAAGUCGUAAUUAACCGAACAUAACUGGAAAGUUAGACCGUAGGAGGUAAUAGUCCUGUAGGUGAAAGUUAUGAUAAUCAAGUUCUGAUCCAGAGUACCACGAGACACGUGAAACCUUGUGGGAAGCAGGGAGGACCACCUCCCAAGGCUAAAUACUACCUGAUGACCGAUAGUGAAGCAGUACCGUGAGGGAAAGGUGAAAAGAACCCCGGGAGGGGAGUGAAAUAGAACCUGAAACCGUGUGCCUACAACCGGUCAAAGCCCCUUAUGAGGGUGAUGACGUGCUUUUUGUAGAACGAGCCAACGAGUUACGGUAUGUAGCAAGGUUAAGUACUUAAGGUACGGAGCCGAAGGGAAACCGAGUCUUAAUAGGGCGACUAGUUGCAUGCCGUAGACCCGAAACCGGGUGACCUAUCCAUGGCCAGGUUGAAGCGAGGGUAAAACUUCGUGGAGGACCGAACCACGUUGCUGUUGAAAAAGCAUGGGAUGAGCUGUGGAUAGCGGAGAAAUUCCAAUCGAACUCGGAGAUAGCUGGUUCUCCCCGAAAUAGCUUUAGGGCUAGCGUCGGAUAUGUGUAGUGGAGGUAGAGCACUGAAUGGGCUAGGGGGCAUAUCGCUUACCGAACCUUAUCAAACUCCGAAUGCCAUAUACAUUAAGUCCGGCAGUCAGACUACGAAUGAUAAGAUCCGUGGUCAAAAGGGAAACAGCCCAGAUCGUCAGCUAAGGUCCCAAAGUGUAAGUUAAGUGGAAAAGGAUGUGGGAUUUCUAAGACAACUAGGAUGUUGGCUUAGAAGCAGCCACUCAUUUAAAGAGUGCGUAAUAGCUCACUAGUCGAGAGAUCCUGCGCCGAAAAUGUACCGGGGCUAAACUUACCACCGAAGCUACGGGCUUGCGUAAGCAAGCGGUAGGGGAGCGUCGUAAUCGGGCUGAAGUCGUACCGUAAGGAGCGGUGGACUGAUUACGAGUGAGAAUGUUGGCAUUAGUAGCGAGAUGUAGGUGAGAAUCCUACAGGCCGAAUAUCUAAGGUUUCCUCAGGAAGGCUCGUCCGCUGAGGGUUAGUCGGGACCUAAGCCGAGGCCGAAAGGCGUAGGCGAUGGACAAUCGGUUGAUAUUCCGAUACCACUACCAUCGUUAUUAUCGAGGGUGUGACGGAGAAGGAUAGUGUGUGCUAGCGAUUGGAAAUGCUAGUCUAAGCGUUUAGGGAGUUACGGUAGGCAAAUCCGCUGUAACAAUUCUGAGGCGUGAUGGGGAAGGCCAUAUAGGCCGAAGUACAUGAUUCCAUGCUUCCAAGAAAAGCAUCUAGAGAGAGAAGUAGUGCCCGUACCGCAAACCGACACAGGUAGAUGAGGAGAGAAUCCUAAGGCCGGCGGAAGAAUUGCAGUUAAGGAACUAGGCAAAUUGACCCCGUAAGUUCGCGAGAAGGGGUGCCUGCGAGAGCAGGCCGCAGAGAAUAGGCCCAAGCAACUGUUUAGCAAAAACACAGGUCUCUGCUAAAGCGUAAGCUGAUGUAUAGGGGCUGACGCCUGCCCGGUGCUGGAAGGUUAAGGGGAACACUUAGCGCAAGCGAAGGUGUGAACUUAAGCCCCAGUAAACGGCGGCCGUAACUAUAACGGUCCUAAGGUAGCGAAAUUCCUUGUCAGGUAAGUUCUGACCCGCACGAAUGG
RNAcentral lists this ribosomal RNA (1975 nucleotides) under human gut metagenome. RNAcentral's name for it is "bacterial LSU rRNA". It matches the Rfam family "Bacterial large subunit ribosomal RNA", at positions 3 to 1999 of the family's 2925-position model. The record is from RNAcentral.